UUGGCAAUUAAGGUGUCGAGCAGUUUGGAUAGUCCUAGCCAUUGAAGAUGUCCAAACCGUAAGUCCUUUUUCACCUAUCGAAAACUUAGCAACAUAUUCAGGAAGAAGAGCAGCAUAUUUUAGUCCUUGAGGACUUAAGCUUGAGUCACCACCUAUUUUUCCUUCAACAUUAAAUUGACUUUCACCAUGUCGGCUUAGCCAAAUACUUCGUCGACGCGUACGCAAAUUAGAGAGAUAAUAAACAAUCCUAGAUUCAAGGUAAUUUUCAAGUUUAUGAACUAUCAGUUCGGCUCCAAAGUCCACAAUUCUAACGAAAGUACAUUCUUCAGCCUCGGACAAAGGUGUGUAGUGUUUCUCAUACUCAUGAAUACUAUCAAGGAUUUUAUUCUUCGAUUCUUCGAACGGAAAGCUUUUGAAAUAUGGUGAAUGCUGACACAUAUCAGUAAUGUUUUCAUCGAUAAUUUUUUGAUUUGUGCAGACAACCUCGACAAACAUUAAGAGCAUAUUCCGCGCUUUUGCCAACUCCACUAUACUUUUCCGAAACUUUAGUGUACAUUGGUUAAAAUCAAGAAUCGCAACAUCAGUACCCUUUUUAAAAACGCUCUCCAGAUUAUCGAAUAUGGGGCUAAGAGUUUUAGCUAAAUUCUCUGAAUCACUGUUAGAAUUUUCGGACAACGAAUUAUCAAUUUCUUUCGUAUCAUAAAGGUGAGUAGAAACGGACAUCCAUGUCAAAUAUCUGGAUAAUUUCAUUGCAGAAGAUGUCUUGCCAGAUGCGGGUAACCCCACAAAGCAAACACAUAGGCCCAAAAGUCCUUCAAUGUCUUUCAUGUUCGAUCUUAAUGUAAAAAAGUUAGUUCUUAAUUUAAAUUUUGGGUGUGGUUAUGUUGCAAACAAAUAUUAAAGAAUAAAUCAUAAGAAUAUGACCAGGUUGCUAAUCCUGCCAGAAUCGGGUUGAAUUAUUAAGUGAAUAUGUUAAAUAAUGAAUAUAUGUUAAAGAGUCGUAUUUCGCUCGAAAUGUAUGAUUCGCCUUGAAGAGCUUGAUGGACGGUUUGCAGUACUCGUACUUAUGUUAAGUAUCCUUAGAGUAUGUAGUGAACUCGUCAAUGCGUUAAAAAGCUAUAAUUUUUAAAAAGAAAAACGAUUAAAUUAAUAAUAUUUAACAGAACGGCUUAAAAUAUACAAGUUCAGAACAUUGCACUCCUGCUAACAUAAACAAGAGGGGUAUACGUGUAAGUUCAAGCUUAAUAUACUAAAUUGCAGGUCUUCGUUACGCAGUAUUAUUGCGAGAGAUGUUUACGCUUCCGUAAGCUACAUUAAGUGAUCUCAAGUCUUUGACUUGGUACUAGGAGUAGUUAAAUCCACUAUUAAAAUAAUAUUCAAAAUUAAGUGUGAGCAUUUCCAUUUCUAUAAGCAUAAUUAUGCUAAGCUGAUUGUAAAAGUGUAUAUAAUCAUUUUCGUAAUAUUGUGGAGUUUUCAUACAAAAACUGUCGGGUAAGGCAUAACUUCAUCAUUUUUUCAGUAAUGUGAAUUGUGAAUUAAGAUUCUGGAUUGGAAGUAUUAGAAAACGUUGCUGAACUGUAUGAUCUUUUAAAAAAUUCAUUUUUAUAACAUGUUCAUUGAAAAUAUUAAACCAGAAUGCCCCUAAAUUGGAAGAAGUAUGUAUCCUAAAUAUUGAACAUGAACAACACUUAUGAAAUUGAAAGAAAGCUUGGCUUUUUCAUAUAUUUCAUUUACUGUUUAAAACCGAGUAAAACUUGAGUCAAAAGCCUCAGUGAUUCAAUGGUCAAAGUUGCCCAAUAUUUAACACUGACUUAAUAAAAGUUAGAAAUAUUAAUUUUGUCUGCUAUAUUUUUUUCGUGUGUUAUCCAUACUACAAUAGUUUGUUAAGGGCUCUAACAAUUAUGAAAAUCUUAAAUUACUAAUUGAUAUUGGUAGGAAGCUUGGAGCAAUUAAAGAAAAUAAAGUUACAAUUACCAAUCACGUAAAAUGAUCUGAAUUAGUCACUUGAUAAAGUUGGGUAGCAUCGCUUUGUUCAGUAGCAAGAUUGACAUCUAUGAAGUCUAAUGAAAUAAAGAGUGAACUUCGAGUGUUCAAAGAGCGUUUUCUGCUAAUUAAGAGUUAUAGCAAUACUGUUCUUUAGUUAUUGAAAUGCACAGUUAGACACUUUUUUUGAAAGAGCCGGAACGCAAAAAACGAAACACUUUAAGAGUAAUAUUUCGGAAAUGAUUACGAAACGAAAACCAACCUCCCUUAGCAUACGUUGGUAGUACUAGACGAGGCCAAUUAACGUAUUGUCUACGAUGAAAAUAUAGGUAGAUUCCAGCAUUCACCAUAGGGAUAGAAUAUAACAGACGACAGAACAGACUUGGAUUUCCAAAUAAUUCUUGUAUAGUUAAUAUUAUCGUGGUGAACAAAAAAAUUCCAGGUGCCACAAAUCUAGUCCAGUGAAAACGCAAAGGCAAGUCCGGAAUCGAAAGUGAGUCGUAAGGACGAAAUACUCCAAGACCCAAAUCAUAGCUAUCUUGCAGCAUACCGUCAAAAA
This 2542-nucleotide long non-coding RNA is filed under the name Schizosaccharomyces pombe (fission yeast). Lineage: Eukaryota; Fungi; Ascomycota; Schizosaccharomycetes; Schizosaccharomycetales; Schizosaccharomycetaceae. The record is from RNAcentral.